GACGAACGCUGGCGGCGUGCUUAACACAUGCAAGUCGAACGGAAAGGCCCUGAUCUUGUGGGGUGGUCGAGUGGGGAAGGGGGGAGUAAAACGUGAGUAACCUGUCCUUGAAUUUGGGAUAACAUCAGGAAACAGGGGCUAAUAACGGAUAGGAGCUCCUGAUGCAUGGUGGGGGUUGGAAAGUUUCGGCGGUUGGGGAUGGAAUCGCGGCUUAUGAGCUUGAUGGUGGGGUAGUGGCUGACCAAGGCUUCGACGGGUAGCCGGCCUGGGAGGGUGACCGGCCUCCAUAGUACUACGGUACGCCCCAGUCUCCUACGUGCGGCAGCAGUCGAGAGUAUUGCGCAAUAGCCCCACGCCUGAUACGGCGGCGUCCCGUUCGUAAUGACGUCCUUCGGGUUGUAAACCGCUGUCGCCUGUGCCGAGGCGUUCUUGACGGUACUGAGUCAAAAAGCACCGGCUAACUACGUG
RNAcentral lists this ribosomal RNA (468 nucleotides) under uncultured bacterium. RNAcentral's name for it is "partial 16S ribosomal RNA". It matches the Rfam family "Bacterial small subunit ribosomal RNA", at positions 28 to 507 of the family's 1533-position model. The record is from RNAcentral.